Molecule: transfer RNA, 72 nt
Organism: Camelus ferus (Wild Bactrian camel)
Lineage: Eukaryota; Metazoa; Chordata; Mammalia; Artiodactyla; Camelidae
Rfam family: tRNA
About the family: Transfer RNA (tRNA) molecules are approximately 80 nucleotides in length.
Source: Rfam
GAGGGUAUAGCUCAGUGGUAGAGCACGUGCUUAGCAUGCAUGAGGUCUGGGGUUCAACCUCCAGUACCUCCA